CACUGAAGCGGCAGUGAGGACUGGGGCGGGAAAGAGUGCCAGGUGUUACGUCACUGGAAAGGGGCGGAGCAAAGGUCAGGCGGAGGAACGAGCAGUGGAUUGACGGGCGAAGGAGCCCGGGGGAAAGCGAGGAAGUGAGUUCGUCCAAUCGGAGCGAGUCACGUUCCAGACCGUAUUGAACCUGCCUUCACAAGCAUUCAGACCUGGCCUUCUUCACAGUCUGCACAACUGACCGCUAAACAGAGUUCAGGGCUUUCAGCUUCACUGCCAGAAAGAUAAGUGUUGGAAAGAAGAAUGAAAAUGUCCCAAAUAGCAUUUAUGACCCAACUACUGAAGAAGAGGAAGAAAUCUGGGGAACAGACUUGUGGCCUUGCCUCUGCCUUCAUGUGGAAUCACCUAUAAACUUUCCAGAAGAAAGUGCAAGAAUUAUCUUCCCAUCAC
RNAcentral lists this long non-coding RNA (441 nucleotides) under Equus asinus (donkey). RNAcentral describes it as "lncRNA (ENSEASG00005032889.1)". The record is from RNAcentral. Lineage: Eukaryota; Metazoa; Chordata; Mammalia; Perissodactyla; Equidae.